AACUGGAUAGCCUAGUGGUCAAAGGCAGCACUUCUAGCAAUUGUGAGGUCCCAGGUUUGAAUCCUGGUCUAUUCA
This 75-nucleotide transfer RNA is filed under the name Cronartium ribicola 11-2. RNAcentral's name for it is "tRNA-Ala (AGC) (tRNA-Ala-AGC-96-1)". It matches the Rfam family "tRNA". From Rfam's summary of the family: Transfer RNA (tRNA) molecules are approximately 80 nucleotides in length. The record is from RNAcentral. Lineage: Eukaryota; Fungi; Basidiomycota; Pucciniomycetes; Pucciniales; Coleosporiaceae.